This is a long non-coding RNA of Hypanus sabinus (Atlantic stingray), 1323 nucleotides long. RefSeq lists it as uncharacterized. The record is from RefSeq and is a predicted model, not a curated record. Lineage: Eukaryota; Metazoa; Chordata; Chondrichthyes; Myliobatiformes; Dasyatidae. The transcript is spliced from 3 exons.
UCUCACAGGCGCCAAGCCGGCGUGAGACGUUUUCUGUCACAGUAUCUCACUCCUCUCGGGAUGUAAAAGAUAAUAUUCACUGCUUCAUUUGACCGUAAAGAUAAUCGUUAUGUAUCACUUUAUUGUGGAUAGUGUUAUAUACAUUGACUAAGCAUUCUUGUUCAUUUAAAUAUAACCCUGCCACGGAUACGUGCGCGCCUCGCUCAAAGUGAACACACGGUUAGACCCGCAUUUUGGACUCCUGCGUCUUCCUCCGAAUUAGUGUUUACGCUUCGAAGUUACAAAACGAAAAGAGAUUCGAGGGGCGGCGCUGUAUGCCGGACGCCAACAAGGUUCAGGUGGGACUCUAUAGAUAGGAGGGAAGGUGUGUGGUUGGCGAAACUGAAGUUAGGACACACACGUUUGCAAUCUGCUUUGGCACGCUUGUCGCACGCGGUGUUACAGCGACUUCUAGGUACAACGUUGCCUCAGGAAAGCAGCUUCCAUCGUCUCGGCCCGAAACGUCGACCGUUCUUUUCUCCCCCGCAGACGCCGCCCGGCCUGCUGAGCUCCCCCGGCAUUUUGUGUGUGUUGCUCGGAUUUCCAGUGUCGGCAGACUUUGUGAUUUGAUCCAUCGUCAAAGGUCACCAGCAGCCAGGCCGUGCUCUUUUCUCGCUGCUGCCAUCAGGCAGAAGAACAGAUACUACCCGUCAACCAUCAGGCUCGUGCACAAAAGGAAACAACUACACUCAUUCUAGUCCUGGUGUUCCCACAGCCGAUGGUCUCACUUUAAGGACUCUUUCUCAUUACUUAUUGCUAUUUAUUUAUAUUUGCAUUUGCACAGUCCAUUGAUCCUGUUCACAGUUACUGCUCUAUAGAUUUGCUGACUAUGCCCGCAGGAAGAUGAAUCUCAGGGAUGUUAUGUGGUGGCAUGUAUAAUAAAUUUUACUUUGAACAUUGAACUUUUGUUCUCCCCCUGCUGGUGGAAAUUUGCUAUAGCAGGUAAUGCUUUAUCACAUGACCCGCGUGCUGCCAUAGAGUAUUUUGAUUGGUGGAUUCUUGCCUCAAGGAUGUGAUGUUAUCCGGACUAUAAAGGUGGUGGAUUUUUUUUGCAAAAGCACCAUCUCUAGUCCCCUUUCUUCUUUUUUAUACCUUUUCCCCUUCGUACUCUGUCAGCUCCUCACUUAGUUUCGCAUGGUCCGUGUCUGUCGUGAAGGAUCGAAGUUGUUCCUUCAUUCUGGAGCGCCUAAGUCAGAGAACCUGGGGAUUGGAAAUUGGCGAGAUCUGACAUCGGUGAUGGGGUGUGUACGCUGUGGAAAAGGCCCUUUGAUCCAUCCCGUCUGU